This 402-nucleotide ribosomal RNA is filed under the name uncultured bacterium. RNAcentral's name for it is "bacterial SSU rRNA". It matches the Rfam family "Bacterial small subunit ribosomal RNA", at positions 355 to 774 of the family's 1533-position model. The record is from RNAcentral.
UGGGGGAUAUUGCGCAAUGGGGGAAACCCUGACGCAGCAACGCCGCGUGAAGGAAGAAGGCCUUCGGGUUGUAAACUUCUUUAAGUGUGGAAGAUAAUGACGGUACACACAGAAUAAGCCACGGCUAACUACGUGCCAGCAGCCGCGGUAAUACGUAGGUGGCGAGCGUUGUCCGGAUUUAUUGGGUUUAAAGGGUGCGUAGGCGGCUUAUUAAGUUAGAGGUGAAAGACUAAGGCUCAACCUUGGAAUUGCCUCUGAUACUGGUAAGCUAGAGUUCAGAUGAAGAAGGCGGAAUGUGUGGUGUAGCGGUGAAAUGCAUAGAUAUCACACAGAACACCGAUUGCGAAGGCAGCUUUCUAAACUGCGACUGACGCUGAUGCACGAAAGCGUGGGGAUCAAACA